GCGCAUGCGCGGGGACGUGGCGUUACGUGGCGGCUCGAAGGGCGAAGGCAAAAGGGGAGAGAGGGAGUCCGGGCCGCAGGCCACACCCACCAGUCCGGGGGCGCAGACCACGCCCACCAGCAGGCCUGCCACCACAGGGGCACGCCCCCUCCUCCUCCUUGCUCUGCUCCGUGCCGCUGGUCGCGGUCACCCACGUGGUCGCAGCCCUGCCCAGUCGGCUCGGGAGGCUCUGAUUAGACUACGCGCUUCGGCUGGUAGGUGUUUUGUCGCGGAGCGGGACGGACUGCAAGCUGUCAAACCUGAGGGCUUAUUUUGUUGAGUCGAAAGUGAAAUUUUCCUUUGACCAGCGUGACAGGAAGGAGCCUGUUCACUGGUGGUGAUGUGGAUCGAACCUCUCACAAACUAUGCAGAUAGAUGCCUUUCUGCUGAGCCACAUUCUCACCCUCACCGCCCCCUUUUAUACCAAAAGACACAGUCUUUUCCCUUUUCCUUCAAUAAGUAUUUGCUGCGUCAGGCUCUGUUCUGUUUGGAAGCUUUGGUUUGUGUGAUGUGGGGAAGAGCAAAAGGAAACAGCAGCUGGGAGGCUUUCCGCAUGGAGGCAGGUCAGGUUCAAGGUCCUUGCCAGAGCUGAGGCUCCAUUUACAGACCUCUCAGCUGAGGCCACCCCUUGCAGUUGCUUACAGGUUACUCCCCUGCGCGUCUCCUGCCCUGCUUCCCUCACACAUCGUCUGCUUAAUUCUCCACCUGGUCCUGGCUCGCAAGGCCGAGGAGUGACACAAUUUAAUUCUUACACGUCAGCCAAGAACAAGUAUUGCUUCUGCUUUGUGCAAAAGAAUAUAUAUAUUUCUUAAGAUAUAUAUAUAUUUACAUAUAUUUCUUAAGUUAUAUAUAUAUAACUUUUUAUGAUGAAAAAUUAACUUUCUGUUUCUUACGUGGAAUUAAAUAUGUCCUCGGCUACUGCAGCUUUUGUUUAUGUUGACCGGUCGGAUAUUUAAUAGAUAAUUUCAAGAUAUC
Molecule: long non-coding RNA, 1014 nt
Organism: Rattus rattus (black rat)
Lineage: Eukaryota; Metazoa; Chordata; Mammalia; Rodentia; Muridae
Exons: 2
Source: RefSeq, a predicted model, not a curated record